This is a long non-coding RNA of Gorilla gorilla gorilla (western lowland gorilla), 4980 nucleotides long. RefSeq lists it as uncharacterized. The transcript is spliced from 3 exons. The record is from RefSeq and is a predicted model, not a curated record. Lineage: Eukaryota; Metazoa; Chordata; Mammalia; Primates; Hominidae.
GCUGCAGCAGACACUUUUAGUUGCAAGUAAAUUAUCUAGGUGCCCUUUCCUAAUUAGAGAAGAAAGUGAGUUUCUGCUAUUUUAAAAAUUCUUCCCUGUAUGGGAAUUUUUCUUUCAUGCUAUAUUCUCCUCUUGGUGUCUUGUCUAAUUUUCCUUUUCUCCCCCCAUCUAUUGUUCAACUGAGGUGUGAAAGAAGUUGAAAUCCACCUGUAAACCCGGGGGUGCCACAUCCCUUCAUUUAUUCACUCACUGAUUCACUCAACAAACAUUCACUGAGGAUUACUCUGUAAACGGCCACGUACUGGGUGCUGAGGACAAAAAAGGUGAAGGCCACUGCCAUUCAUGUGGCUACACUGUUCUGUCCCCUUUCGGUCCCUGCCCUUGAAAGUUCCCAAUUCUUGCUGACCUCCUGGAAAAGCCUAGAGAAAUAACAUCAAAUAACGGAGAGAUAAUUUCCCUUCAAGACUUUCACUAGGUCAGUUGUUCUAACCUUUUUAUGAGGCAAAAGGAAUAGAGAGGGGGAGGCAGCCAGCCAGGAUUAUUUGCUGCAUUUUAGAUAGGAAAGCUGAGUUCCAGAGAGGGGAGGGAAGGCAAGAGAGGGAAAGGAACUCAAUUAUUUAAUAGAGUCAGGCCUUGUGCCUUUUUAUUCUCAUACAUGCCUUGUGAGGUGGGUAUUUUUAUCAUCAUUUUACACGGGCAAAAGCUGACACUUAGGUUAAGGAGCUCAUCCAAGUCACUCCAUCUAUAGGUGGCAGAGCUGGGCUUAAAACACAGGUGUGAUCUUGGAACUAAGCUCUCAGCCUGCUGACUCAGCAACUACACUGCAGGUCAGUAGUGGAUUUGGGAACCUCCUGCUUCCCAGUCCUCUGCCUGGUCUUUUAGGCCAACAGUUUUACAACUUGGACACGCAUCAGAAUCACCUGGAGGGCCUGUGAAAACACAUAACGCUGAGCCAUACCCCCAGUUUCUGAUUCAGUAGGUCUAGGGUGGGGCUGAGAAUUUGCAUUUUUAACUAGUUCCCAGGUGAUGAUGAUGAUGAUGAUGGUCCACGGACCACAGUUUGAGAACACUGUUCCAGGUGUUCUCUUUCAAAAUAAUGACUCCCUCUCUUCCCCUUAACCAUUCCAAAGGUAACAUAGGUUUGUAAAAUACAACAAAUAUAUAACAUGUAGAACCUACAGAAAAAUAGGAAGAAUGGAAUUCAUCCACAUUCUUCUACUCAGAAAUAACCACUCUUAACAGUUUGGCACAUCUCCUCUGUCUUCUUUUCAGAGGCUAAGCACAGAGGAAGCGGGGUGGCCUAUGGCUGCUCGGCUAAGACCCGGUUAAGAUCCCAGUGCUUCCGUGAGACCUUGGGCAAGCCUGAACCAAGUCUGGGUCCCCUCUUCGGCAAAACUGCAUUUACACUCCCAUCCCGCAUUAGUUUGUUGGGAGGGUUUAAAGAAGAGCGUGUAUUUAUCAAGCACUCGACACAAUGUCAGAUGCGGAGUCAGCGCCCCAUAAAUGUUGGCUGUCAUUUUUGUUCUAACGUAAGAGAAAGCUGGAUGAUCCCAUUUGGGUUUCAGCCCCGUUUUCCCUCUUCACUCCUCCGGUGGUUCAGUGGGAGCUCUGCCGACCGCCUGGCUGCGGCCACUCACUGCUGGGACUGCGCGGCCUGGCCGCUCCCAGCAGCUGGCGGAGCCGCAGGACCCCCGCGCCGCCCGGGCCGCCGCCGUUAGGGUUGGCUCAAGCCUCUCGGCCUAGCCCGCCAGUUUUAUAGCCCGAACUCAAAGAGGGCUUUUAACUUUUCAUUCAGCAGCAGCGUAGCUCCGACUUUUAAUAACACACCUCGUGCACGACAAAAAUUUGCUCCUGGCAAUCAUGGUUUCGACCACAAAACCACAGCGGGGAGGCGUUCCUGAUUAACUCUUUCAGCGCUCCAGGCAGUCUGGAGCCGGCGCUCCUGGAGAUCAGAUAGAACGGCGGCGGCGGCCGCGGUCAGGACUGCGACGGUUCUAGUCCCCUUCCCCCAACCGAGUCGCGUCUCUGCGAGGCUGAGGGGAGACUCCAGGCGGCAGCGGUGGGGCCCAGAGAGCAGGGAGCGAGGCCGCGGGGGACGCUCCUGCCUCCGUGCCUUAGACCUACUGUGUGCCAAGCCCCCUUGCGGCGAAACUCUCCCUUCCUGGCCUGUCAACGGGGCCUGCCUGGAGCGCCGGCCGGCCCUCCAGAGGGGAACAAGAGGUCACCGGGGAGGUCGCCUGCGGCUCCAGCUCCCCGGGGGCCCCGACGCACCUUCAGGAAAACCCGACGCCGGGCAGCUCGCGGGCGCCGGCUGUUUUCCUGCGAGACCCAGGCGGUCGGCGGCGACUUCCGGCGCCCUCGGCCGCAGCCCAGGAUCCCUUGCGCCCUGCGGUAGCCCGGGGCUGCCCAGGGCUGCGGGCUCCAGGCACCCAGAGCGCUGCGACCACAUGAAAGGCCCGGCGCUCAGCACCCGCCAGCCACCUCCAGCUGGUUUCUAACUACACCGCCGGGGCCUCCAUGCUUCUCAGGGACCAGCCUUCGAAGUGCCGCCUUACACCCGGGGCCUGGCCACCGGGUGGACGCGGAUGGAGCUCUGGUCCACAUUUGGGAGCUCACAGUUGUUCCUGCCAGAUGUGGAAGCUGAGACUUAAAGAAGCUAUGAAACUUGAUCAGGUCAUGCAGCGCCAGAGGACCCAAGGUGGGAUCUCAACCCAGACUGUUUGGCUCCAAAGCUGAACUGCUACAUUAUGUUGCUUCAGCAAACAGUCAUUCAGAACCUCAGCUACCGCCGUGACUUUGGGUGCAAACCUGUCUGAAGCCUGUUGGUGAAGCUCUGCCCAGCUAUGAAGAAGCACAGAUCUGCCUGCCUUCCUUGGAAGGCUCAGACUCUUUUUCUGGAAGGCCUACCUUCUCAUCCUUUGGCAGUUGGGGGAACUGAAGCACAGUGAAGGAGAUAAGCGUGCCAUACGAUGAGAGGACAGAGCUCAGCGCUCUUCACUCAUCUGCCUGUGGGAAAGAGCCAGUUCUAGGGGUGGGGAUCGUGAAGGAGCACCCUACUUCCCUGUCCUUGUCACAUCCCAUGGCCAGUAGCCAUGUACUUUUUCCUCCUUUUUCUCUUGCCCAGCAAAUACAGGCUCCAGCUGCAGCCACUUUGAAGAUAAAGUCCUCCAUAGAAAUUCUGCAAUACAGAUGUCCUUCCGCGGUUCCAGUUCAGCCCUGCACCAGUUCCUUUUCCCACUGGGAAAUUUCUUUCCUCUUCCUACUUCCAUGCAACUGCGAGGCAAGGCUCAAGCCCACUUCCUUCUCCUUUUCCUGUGUCUCCCUGUGGAAGGAGCUCCCUCUUCUUCACAGCUCCAGGCUCUUCCCUACUCUGGCCCAACCUUAUGAGCAUUUUGCUCCAUAACUCUCCUCAAUCUGAACUGCUUCUGAUUUCUCUCAAGUCAUGUCAGGGAAUCUCACAAAUGCAUUCUGAGAAAUACAAGAAUGCCUGAGAUGUUCCAGGCAGAAAAGAUUCCAGGAUCAGAACAUUUGGGAAAAGCUUCACAUCUCUCCUUAGAAAUGAACAAGGCAUAGUCAUCAAGCAUCUGAAAAGUCCUGCAGUCAGGAAACCUACCUUGUUUGUUUUUUAACCCAGUAUUUCCCAAACUAAGAUGGCCAUGAUUUCAUCUCCUCCAUCCCCACUGACUCCUAUAACAACAUGUAGAACCAGUGAUCCACUGUGGAACACACUUUGAGAAACACUGUCCCCAGCCCUCCAAGAAGGCAUAGAGUUGACCUUGCCUUCAUUGAUUUAAACCCUUCCUGUUUCUCUGGGCUAUUUACUUAUUAUCUCACAUACAAAAUAAUCUAAGGUGAUGUCUGCCCAAUUGGGUUUUUAGGAAAGACAUACCCGAUGGGAAUGAAGAUUUUCUUAGCAGGAUUUGAUGAGCCCAUUACUAGAAAAAAAAUCAAGGAUUUCCCAGACUUUCAGGGUGAGGAGAGAAUUUGAUACAAGCAGCAGAGGCUGGGCGUAGUGACCCAUGCCUAGCACUUUGGUAGGCCAAGGAGGGAGGAUUGCUUGAACCCAGGAAUCCAAGACCAGCCUGGGCAACAUAGUAAGAUCCCAUCUCAAUUUUUUAAAGAAGGAUUUUAUCAAAUUUGUUUCCUAGUCAAUGGAUAAAGCCAAAGAUGUAAUGGCCAGAAACCCAAAAUCUAGAGUUCAGUACCAGAUAAAUACUUUUUGGGUGAAUGAAUGAAUGAGAAGGCUAUUGAUCACAAAGUUGGCAGACAUUGUGAAUGAAUGGAUGAAUUAAUAAACAAUCAAAUAACUGGUCUCCAGGCCUCCAGACUUUCUGAACUUCAUUGUAUCUCCCUGCUGUGGCCACAUAUAUAUCUCCUCAAAACCCAGAUCUCAUCAGUCCACUCUUCUGUUCCCUGGCUGGCUCCCUGUUGCCUUCAGGAUAAAGUCUACAUGCCUUUGUCCUGGCACUGAAAACUCUGCAAAACAAAGCUCCAACCUAGCUUUCCAUCCUUCUUUCUCUUCCCCAUUGGGUACCCCUUACUCUAGUCACACCAGUCCCCAAUUCACUUUAUCCGUCUCCUUUUCUUUCUCAAGCUAUUCUCUAUACCUCACCUUUUCUCCCCUGCCUCCAUUGUUGCUUAUUCAACCCUAGCAGUGCUUUCAGGCUCAGCUCAAACCUUAUCACCCAUGUUAAAUGAAAGAAGCCAGAUACAAGAAGGGGACAUUCUGAAUGAUUCCAUUUAUAUGAAGGUUAAGAACAGGCAAAACUAUUGUGGGGAAAAAACAGAACUGUGGUUGCCUUUGGGGAGUGAGGAUUGAUUAGAAGGGGUUUUGGAGGUAGGAAAAUGUUCUUGAUCUUCAUUCCAGUGGUAAUUUCAUGGGUGAAUACAUUUGCCAAAAUUCACUGAAUUGUACACUAAAGAUCUGCAUUUCUCUGUAUUGUCAAUUUAAUCUAAAAAUAAAAAUCUUACCACCCAGAU